RNAcentral lists this ribosomal RNA (409 nucleotides) under bacterium. RNAcentral's name for it is "partial 16S ribosomal RNA". It matches the Rfam family "Bacterial small subunit ribosomal RNA", at positions 355 to 776 of the family's 1533-position model. The record is from RNAcentral.
UGGGGAAUAUUGCACAAUGGGCGAAAGCCUGAUGCAGCGACGCCGCGUGAGGGAUGACGGCCUUCGGGUUGUAAACCUCUUUCAGCAGGGACGAAGCGCAAGUGACGGUACCUGCAGAAGAAGCACCGGCUAACUACGUGCCAGCAGCCGCGGUAAUACGGAGGGUGCAAGCGUUGUCCGGAAUUACUGGGCGUAAAGAGUUCGUAGGCGGCUUGUCGCGUCGUUUGUGAAAACCAGCAGCUCAACUGCUGGCUUGCAGGCGAUACGGGCAGACUUGAGUGCGGCAGGGGAGACUGGAAUUCCUGGUGUAGCGGUGAAAUGCGCAGAUAUCAGGAGGAACACCGGUGGCGAAGGCGGGUCUCUGGGCAGUAACUGACGCUGAGGAACGAAAGCGUGGGUAGCGAACAGG